GUCAGGUUUGCGGGUCAGAGCGUUGCUGCUCUAUUUUUGGUAAAAGCAGAUUCACCUGCGCACCUCUGGACACCUGUGCUACCAAAUCACUAAACGCUGCGAGAAGAUUGUGGUGCUUUGAGAGGAGAGGCUGCUGCUCUGCAGGAUGUUAGAUCUGUAGCUUUCGGUUGCCAUGGCAGCACCUGACAGGUUUCUUCCAAUGAGCAUAAAAUGAAGCUCCGCCCUCAUCCAACCUGAACCAGGAAGAACUCCACAGGUGAGAAACCAGGAAGUCAAAUACUUCUCUUUUUAAAUUAAAUUAGAAUUUAAAUGUAAAUCUUGAAUUAAUGUUGAUUUC
Molecule: long non-coding RNA, 337 nt
Filed under: Oryzias javanicus (javanese ricefish)
Lineage: Eukaryota; Metazoa; Chordata; Actinopteri; Beloniformes; Adrianichthyidae
Description: lncRNA (ENSOJAG00000007341.1)
Source: RNAcentral